Molecule: long non-coding RNA, 760 nt
Filed under: Anas platyrhynchos platyrhynchos (common mallard)
Lineage: Eukaryota; Metazoa; Chordata; Aves; Anseriformes; Anatidae
Description: lncRNA (ENSAPLG00000019433.1)
Source: RNAcentral
GGGAGAUAAGAGAUGGGAAAGCAAACAGCGAGAGCUGAUUGGGGCUAAGCAGAGAGAAAUCAAAUUCUCAUUGCAGCUUCUCAACAGAUAAAAUCCAAAUCAAAGCAAAUGUGAUGAAAUGGCAGUGUUAGAAAUGUAUUGUAACGGGAAGGAUCGUGUGCUGCUAACUGUGCUUCCAAGUGUGCACAAGCCAAAUGCUUGUGACAUGUGUGAGGCCAGGCGGGCCUGCACCCAAAGGAGCCCGGCUGCCCCCAAAGGAGCCCAUCUGGCCCUAAAGCAGCCUGGCUGCCCCAUGUGGAAGCUCAGGGGCAGUCAGGAGGGUCAUUGCCAUCACUGCCUUCACUGCCCACACCUGGGGGAAUUCCACCCCCUCGAAGCAGGGAGCAAGAAAGGGAUAAAAAGGGUGGGAAGGGCAGGCUCCUGCUUCUUGAGGGGUGGUCAGCAGGGGGGACUGCUCUGGUGGGUACCUGGAGUAUUUGCCCUGAGGUUUGGUUUGUGCAUUUUUGUUGUCUUCCUGCAGCCACCAGGGCCCUCGCUGCUGCCUUGUGUGUGCAGUGCUGUGACUGAACAUAACCUGCUGCAGGUGUGGUGUCCUUGUACCCUCCUGGCAACUGGCAAGCAGGAGACUUUUUUACAGGAGUGUGUGUCUGGCAUUCCUCUGAAAAGCUCUCGCACAACUUAUGGGUAAGCUUGAUGUAUGGUUCUAGUUGAUGAAUUAUAUCUACUACAACUGAAAUAAAUGCUUGGGAGCAAAUUGACA